UGGGGAAUUUUGGACAAUGGGCGAAAGCCUGAUCCAGCCAUGCCGCGUGAGUGAAGAAGGCCUUCGGGUUGUAAAGCUCUUUCAGGUGGAAAGAAAACGCAUAGGUUAAUACCUUGUGCGGAUGACGGUACCAUCAGAAGAAGCACCGGCUAACUACGUGCCAGCAGCCGCGGUCAUACGUAGGGUGCGAGCGUUAAUCGGAAUUACUGGACGUAAAGCGUGCGCAGGCGGUCUUGUAAGACAGUCGUGAAAGCCCCGGGCUUAACCUGGGAACUGCGAUUGUGACUGCAAGGCUAGAGUGUGUCAUAGAGGGGUGGAAUUCCGCGUGUAGCAGUGAAAUGCGUAGAUAUGCGGAGUAACACCGAUGGCGAAGGCAAUCCCCUGGACCUGUACUGACGCUCAUGCACGAAAGCGUGGGGAGCAAACA
Molecule: ribosomal RNA, 427 nt
Filed under: uncultured bacterium
Lineage: Bacteria
Description: bacterial SSU rRNA
Rfam family: Bacterial small subunit ribosomal RNA
Source: RNAcentral